GUUGACAAUGAUGACAUUAUUUUAACUCCGCUUGAUUUCCUCUUGGAAGGUGAAAGCAACUUUAGUCACUACCUCUUCUGAGACAC
Small nucleolar RNA from Laticauda laticaudata (blue-ringed sea krait), 86 nucleotides. Ensembl annotates it as small nucleolar RNA, C/D box 11. The record is from Ensembl. NCBI's taxonomy places the organism in Eukaryota, Metazoa, Chordata, Lepidosauria, Squamata, Elapidae.